Astatotilapia calliptera (eastern happy) is the source of this 1908-nucleotide long non-coding RNA. NCBI's taxonomy places the organism in Eukaryota, Metazoa, Chordata, Actinopteri, Cichliformes, Cichlidae. The record is from Ensembl.
CUUCGCUCUCCAGCAACACAAACAGUAUCUCUCACUCACAACUUUGGUAAGUUUUUCGGGUUUUUUAAAAAAAAUGUCUUUCCUGUUUUUCUCUUAAGCUCAUUUUUGCUGCGCACAUCUUUUACACUGAAACUGCUUUGUCUGCUUUUCCCCUGUUGUGAUUUUUAAUACUUUGGAUUUUGAAGUACUUGAAGCAUUUAUUUAAUCUAUGCUAAGCUACAUUUGAGGUACAAUUACAGCACCUCAGGCAAUAAUUUGCAACUUAGAUCAGUUAUUCUGAUCCAUUUUGGCUUUAAUUGCUCUUUGUAAGUGGACCUGCUUUAGUUCUUGAUUAAUUUUGCAAUAGUUGAUGUCGGCUCUCGGUCUGAUGAACUCCGAGUGAAAAAGUUUCCACCCAUGGCGGGCUGACUGAUGCUGUUCAGUUAUCAUUUUGACAGGAAACCAGCAAACGCUCUGAGCGGUCUGCAAAGCUUCCUGUCAUCCUAGUGAACACAAUUUAGAGUUUAACAAGGGCAGACUUCCUGUAACAUCUCCAGUAUCCUGAGUAUAAAAUUCACCAAUGGAUCUCCUGAUGACAAGUUCACAGCUGCUUUGAAAGCACCAGGAGUUUGUGACUGUAAAGUUCAGCCUGUAACUGAGACUCCAAACCAUCCAGGAAUUUUUUUUCUUUAAUUCAACUGUAACUUCUUCCUAAGGAGAAUUUCAACUGGUGGAUAAAGUUCACAGGGAUGGGGGAUUCUGAACAAAACAGCACUCCAUUGGUGCUGGGCCUUUUGUUCAUCCUAUUAUUCCUCCUUGUUGUGCUCUUUGUACUGUACAAGAAGCUGAACAGGGAGGCUGAAGGGGAAUAUACAGUCCGACGCAUCGUCUACAAGGAAGGAGGUCUCAGGGACCAGGCGAGAAGUGCAGCGUUAGCUGUGGGGGCACGUCUUGGGGUCCAGCUGUGGCCUGGAAGUGAUGAAGAAGAGGAAGGGGAGGAAAUGCAGGAAGUCCAAGAUGAAGAAGAACAGGUGGAUAGUGGUGGUAGUCAGGAGAGUGACACAGAGGGAGAUGAAGAGGAGGAGGACAACGACACUGGUAAUGCUAAGGAGAAAGAAAGUAAUACUUCAAAUGAUGACUCAAGUAUUGGGAGUUCAGAGGCAGGAGAGCAAACCAAACUUAACGAUGAGUCUGAGCCAGAGGGAGAGACGGAAGAUAAAAGUGAAGAAAAGGAGGAGAAAGUGGGAGAAGAGCAGAGUAAAGCUGAGGCAAGUGGAGGGCCGGGAUUGCUGAUAGAUCUAAAGCAGUUCUCUGGAAGUGCGAUCUGGUCUGAAGAAGGUGGUGAGGGUAAAGGUGACGUGACGGCGUUGUGAGAAUCAGAAAUAAUGAAUAAGACUGAGGAAACUGCCAAAUCAGGAUUUCACAAACAUCAGCUUCAUCCCCUAAAUGUCUCCCCACUGCAAAUUCCUUCUAUUAGUCUAAAAAAAUAAAAUAAAAUAAAAGAUACAUGCACCCACCCAUUAAACCCAAAGAGCUUUAAUCUUUCAUGACCUCACUGACCUUGCUUUCCUCUGGUCAAAUUUUUUUGAUGAAUAAAGCAGUUAUAUAAACAUACAGGGGUACUCUAGAUUGUAACUGUAAAGUGUAAAAAAAAAAACCAAUACUUGUCUAUACUUUUUUGCUUUAAAUGUUUAUUUUAAUCUACAUAAGAAAUUGAAAACUGGAAACUUUUUUUAGUGUUUUCUGCUCUGUUUUUUGUUGUUCUUUAUGCCGUUUGUAGAAAUAAAAAAAGAGUAGUAAUUAAAUAUAGUGAGAACAAAAUAAUGCGUUAUUUGUUUUAUUGAAAACAAGUGAAUGUAACCGAUCAAACUUUAAGUCAACAUACAUUUUAUAUGGUGUGUAAAUGGUUGAAAAUUUAAUAAACCACAU